This 253-nucleotide ribosomal RNA is filed under the name uncultured bacterium. Its description in RNAcentral is "partial 16S ribosomal RNA". It matches the Rfam family "Bacterial small subunit ribosomal RNA", at positions 524 to 776 of the family's 1533-position model. The record is from RNAcentral.
UACAGAGGGGGCAAGCGUUAUUCGGAAUUAUUGGGCGUAAAGGGCGCGUAGGCGGCUUUGCAAGUGGCGGGUGAAAUCCCUCGGCUUAACCGAGGAACUGCCUGCCAGACUGUGAGGCUUGAGACCGGGAGAGGUGAGUGGAAUUCCCAGUGUAGCGGUGAAAUGCGUAGAUAUUGGGAGGAACACCGGUGGCGAAGGCGGCCCUCUGGACCGAAACUGACACUGAAGCGCGAAAGCUAGGGGAGCAAACGGG